CCCUAGUGGUUUCAUAAUUGCAAUGAGAACAUUUUAAAUACUUUAUCAAGUAUCAAUUGGAGGGCAAGUCUGGUGCCAGCAGCCGCGGUAAUUCCAGCUCCAAUAGCGUAUAUUAAAGUUGUUGCAGUUAAAAAGCUCGUAGUUGAAAUUGGGGAACGUGAAGAAUUUGAGAUCUACGAUCAAAAAAUCUUUGCUCCUUCAUCGUCGUGUAUAUCAGCUGAGUUCUUUAUUGAAUUUAGUUGGUAACCGACAAGUUUACUUUGAAAAAAUUAGAGUGCUUAAAGCAAGCUUAUGCUUGUAUAUUGUUGCAUGGAAUAAUAAAAUAGGACUUCGGUUUUAUUUUGUUGGUUUUCGAAACUGAAGUAAUGAUUAAAAGAAACUGCCGGGGGCAUAUGUAUGCUGGUGCUAGAGGUGAAAUUCUUAGACCAUCAGCAGACAAACUACUGCGAAAGCAUUUGCCAAGAAUGUUUUCAUUAAUCAAGAACGAAAGUCAGAGGAUCGAAGACGAUCAGAUACCGUCCUAGUUCUGACCAUAAACUAUGCCAACUGACAGUUAGCUAAGGAAAUUUAUUAAUCCUUGCUAGAAGUCACCGGGAAACCUAAGUCUAUGGGUUCCGGGGGAAGUAUGGUUGCAAAGCUGAAACUUAAAGGAAUUGACGGAAGGGCACCACCAGGAGUGGAGCCUGCGGCUUAAUUUGACUCAACACGGGAAAUCUCACCCGGUCCGGACACUGUGAGGAUUGACAGAUUGAUAGCUCUUUC
This 762-nucleotide ribosomal RNA is filed under the name Bipalium admarginatum. RNAcentral's name for it is "SSU rRNA". It matches the Rfam family "Eukaryotic small subunit ribosomal RNA", at positions 491 to 1261 of the family's 1831-position model. The record is from RNAcentral. Lineage: Eukaryota; Metazoa; Platyhelminthes; Tricladida; Geoplanidae.